Molecule: small nuclear RNA, 105 nt
Organism: Ailuropoda melanoleuca (giant panda)
Lineage: Eukaryota; Metazoa; Chordata; Mammalia; Carnivora; Ursidae
Source: Ensembl
GUGUUUUUUCCAGCAACCUACAUACUGAAAUUGGAAUGAUACAGAGAAAGAUUUGCAUGGCCCCUCUACAAAGGCAUGUACAUUUAUAAAACAGUCUUCAUAUUU